UUGCGGAGUAUGAUCUCGCGUGUAAAAAAAAGUACAUGUCGGAACUUAAAAUUGGAACUUCGUUUCCUUCCAAUCUUCAGCCGCUGAGCCACCCUCCCUUCGCAGCACGCCACUAUCUCAGGCAGACUCCUCUCUUCACACGCAGCCCUAGCUAGGGUUUACUCUCUUGAGCUCUGAUCCUUGCUAUUGAUAUUGAGGUAAUCAUGGAUUCAGGCAGCCAAUUUGUUCAGCAUAGUGUGGACAUGCCUCAUCAAUUGUGAGGAUGCAACCAUUAUGACAACAUUAUAAGAAUUACCAUAUUAAGAAAAAUGGCCAAGGCAGCCUAUUUGUCCAGUUUUCAUCAAAGUAUUCUUAUUAAAACAGAUUUUGGUACUUGAAACGUCAUCAUGAUGUGCCCCAUGAAGAAAAGAAAAACAUCAGAAGUCCUGGUAUCUCGAAAUGCCAGUGAGAUGGAAUCUAUACUACCAGUUCUUCUAGCUUGUGACUAUUAUACAGUGCCUUCAUUGUCGGAACUGGCUGCCAGAGAAUGUGUGGACUCGGGAUAUUGUCAAAGAGUUCAAGAUUUUACGGUUGGAAGGUUGGGUUAUGGAGUUGUUAAGUUUCUUGGAGAAACUGAUGUGAGAUGGCUUAAACUAGAUCAAGUUAUUCAAUUUAACCAGCAAGAGGUGGUGGUUUAUGAAGAUGGCUAUGGAAAGCCUUUGAUAGGCAUGGGCCUUAACAAAGCUGCCGAAGUUACCUUAGUACUAAAAGUGAAAGUGGGUAAAGAUGAGGUUAUUGGUGGUCAAAACAAUCUGGAAUUAGAGAAGCUCAGGAUGAAGUUGAAGGGUGUUAAUGAGAGGCAGGGGGCUCGUUUCAUCUCUUAUGACCCAUCUAGCCAUCAAUGGAAGUUCUUGGUCCCACAUUUCAGCAGAUUUGGACUUGAUGCUGAAGAUGACAUUGAUAUGGUGCCCAUUGACAACAAUAACCAACAAGAACUUGGUCCUAUUGUUAAGGAAGUGUCACAAGAUGUAAAUGAAGAAGAUGAGAUGAGAAUGGAUGUGUCCCCAUCAGCUGGUCCUUCUGGAAGUGCCCUAGUUCAUUCUCUACCUGCACAUCUCGGGCUUGAUCCUCUAAAGAUGCAAGAAAUGAGGAUGUUGAUGUUUCAAAAUGGAGAAGAAAAUGAAGAUGAAAAUGGGUCACUUGUGCACAAAACUAGGUCAUCUAGGAAAGAAGGUGCUGAUGGUGGGGUCCAUGGAUCUGUCUUGCAACUUUCAGCUAAAAAGAGUAGCCAUAAUGUAAGUCCAAAUAACACAUCAAGUAACUCAAGUCCAUUUAAGAUAUUGAGUCCUUUAAGCCCUUCUUUGCCGAAUAAGCAAGCUUUGUUAGACUACAUUUCAAAAUCAGGGAGUGCAAGUCCUCCUAGAAACAUUCUCAUGAUUGGGCAAAACAAGGGCACACCCACAAAGACAACAAAAGUUAAGGGCUUUAAGCUGGACCCAAAACAUGAAACCCCUAUUGGUACCCGUUCCAACAUCAUAGCAGAUGCUGGGCUUUUUAUGGGAAGGUCGUUUCGUGUCGGGUGGGGCCCAAAUGGUUUACUUGUUCAUAGUGGUACACCCAUAUGUGACGUCAAUGCCAGCAAAGGACUAUCAUCUAUAAUUCACAUUGAAAAAGUUGCACUUGAUGCAACAGUCAGAGAUGAGGAUAAAAAGGUCAAAGAGGAUCUUAUCAAUCUUCGUUUUGAUUCUCCAUUGAGGCUUCACAGGUCGUUACGCCAAGAUAUCACUGAAAUCGAAACGGGUUCAUUCAAAUUGAAGCUACAGAAGCUUGUAUGCAGCCGUUCAAGGCUUCCUGAGGUUUGCAGGGGUCAUGUAGCAUUUGUCGAAAGGCAGCUCGAUGUCUCGGGCUUAUCUAGAGCAGAGCGUACCAUAUUGAUGCAUCAAGUCAUGGCUUGGGAGUUGAUAAAUGUUCUAUUUUCAGAGAGAGAAGCAAAAGGUUCUUCAGAGUCAGCGGAGAUGGAUGAUGCUAUGGACAUGAUGCUUGACAAAAGGGUAGAUUAUCCAGAUGUUGAGUCAGAAGCGGAGCCACUUAUUCGGAGGUCAGAUUUCAGUUCUUGGUUGCAAGAGAGUGUUUGCCACCGUGUACAAGAAGAGAUGAGUCGUCUGAAUGAGGGACGAUAUUUGGAAACCAUAUUCUCUCUCUUGACGGGGCGGCAAUUGGGUGCCGCUGUUGAAUUGGCUGUUGAUAAGGGAGAUGUUAGAAUGGCUUGUUUGCUGAGCCAAGCUGGUGGGUCAAUGGUGAAUCGUUCUGAUAUGACUGCACAAAUCGAUGUUUGGAAGAUGGAUGGGCUGGACUUCAACUUCAUUGAGAAGGAAAGGUUGAAGUUAUAUGAGUUACUCUCUGGAAAUAUACAUGGUGCUCUUCUCGAUUCGGAACUGGAUUGGAAAAGGCACCUUGGGUUGUUGAUGUGGUAUCACCUACCCCCUGACACUUCACUGCCCGUUAUCGUUCAAACUUAUCAGCAGCUUCUUCAUGAAGGAAGAGCCCCAUAUCCCAUCCCAUUCUAUGUUGAUGAAGGUCCUCUUGAAGAAGCUACUGGGUUGAACUUUGGUGGCCAUUUUGACUUGACCUACUAUCUUAUGCUUCUUCAUGCUAACAGAGCAAACAGCACGGCAAUUCUAAAAACUAUGUUCAGUUCCCCUUCAUCAACCUAUGAUGCAUUGGACUAUCAUAUGAUUUGGCAUCAGCGUUCCGUUUUGGAAGCUAUUGGUGCUUUGGAUUAUAAAGAUUUUUAUGUGCUGGACAUGAGCUUUGUUUCUCAGCUGCUAUGUUUGGGACAGUGUCAUUUGGCUAUCUAUGUUGUUCUCCACAUGCCCCAGCAUGAUGAUCAUCCACAUCUGCAUGCUAGCAUCAUCAGGGAAAUUUUGUUCCAGUAUUGUGAGACAUGGAGUUCUCAUGAAAUGCAACGCAAAUUUAUUGAAGAUUUAGGGAUUCCAUCUGCAUGGAUGCAUGAGGCUUUGGCAGUGUACUAUCAAUAUUAUGGAGAUCUAUCAAUGGCGCUUGACCAUCUGCUUGAGAGUUCCAAUUGGCAAAGGGCACAUUCAAUUUUCAUGACUUCAGUAUCUCAUUCAUUGUUUUUGUCCUCACAACAUUCAGAAAUUUGGAGGCUUGCAAUCUCCAUGGAGGGGCACAAAUCAGAGAUUGCAGAUUGGGACUUGGGUGCUGGAAUUUAUAUCUACUUUUACCUUCUAAAGAGCUCAUUUGAGGAUGAAAACACAAUGGCUGAAUUUGAUUCCUUAGAAAAGAAAAAUGAUGAGUGCCGUGCUUUCUUUAGUCGCUUAAAGGACUCUUUGUCUGUGUGGGGAAACAGAUUACUCCCAGCUGCAAGGGGGACAUAUUCUAAGAUGGCAGAGGAGCUGUCCACAUUGCUAUCAUCUAGAAUUUCGAAAGGCUCCACUCGUUCAUCACAGCUGAGCUGCUUGGAUACCAUUUUAGACGCACCCAUGCCUGAGGAUAUUCGGUCCUGCCAUUUGCAAGAUGCUAUUUCAGUAUUUACGUUCUGGUUAUCAGAAGUUGCAUCAUAGAAGACGUGUGAUCAAAUUAAUCGAUGAAAUUAGCACAAUCUGGGAGUAAAGAAGAAAUAAUGACAUGAAUAUCAUUUAGAAUUGGACCUUUAUUACAUCGGUGCAGUUGGCAUACGGAUGCAUCCGUAGAUGUAGAGGAUUUUUGCGUUGAAUGUUGUUAAUUGUCUUCACCGUUGUUUAGUAAUUUAGAGCUUGCUGGUCAGUGCAAGUAGAUAAUUUAUGUAUAACAUUUCUAAAAGGAAAUGUCAGAUUUCUUCUUGUGGGAUGAGAA
RNA transcript from Amborella trichopoda, 3834 nucleotides. It is a transcript of the gene named SUPPRESSOR OF AUXIN RESISTANCE 3, with no coding region annotated. NCBI's taxonomy places the organism in Eukaryota, Viridiplantae, Streptophyta, Magnoliopsida, Amborellales, Amborellaceae. The record is from RefSeq and is a predicted model, not a curated record.